Long non-coding RNA from Ostrea edulis (European flat oyster), 1484 nucleotides. RefSeq lists it as uncharacterized. The transcript has 3 exons. The record is from RefSeq and is a predicted model, not a curated record. NCBI's taxonomy places the organism in Eukaryota, Metazoa, Mollusca, Bivalvia, Ostreida, Ostreidae.
UAUGUGAGAAGGAAUCGCACACGAUCUGGAGGUAGGGUGUUGAAUGCAGUUCCUGACUACAUCUGUCAGUUCUAGGAUUGUUUGCCUUGGAAAUCGAUACCUUGCAAUCAAAUCUGUGUCAUUGGAAGACCUGGGGGAAAUAGAAAAGAAAGCAAAGACAGGCAGUUGUGGCGUCAGCUGGUUGAGGCCUUAUGUGCUGAUAGGCACGAAGAGGAUAAGUAACUAAGAUAGUAGAGGACCUGAUAGUACUACCUGAGACAACUUUUCCUCUUAAUCGGUAAGUUACUAAGUUUAUUACUAAUGAUAAUAUACUUCUAAUAUAUAUCUAAAAUGGUAAAUCCUAUAAUUUUGCAUUAAAAUUAAUUUCCUAUGUACUUCAUCCUGAGUAAAAGUAUAGUGAGAGAGAAUCAUUUAUUUUAACUAUAAAGUGUAAAUAUAUGUAGUUCACUUGUCUCGCUAUGAUGUACCUUAAUUAAUGGCCAUAUUUUUAUGAUAAUUGCAUUAGCAGCUAGUUGUAAGUUAUUUGAUUAACUUGCAGGUUUGAACUUUAUAUGGUGACAUUUAUUUACCACAUUGGCAGUUCACCAUUGUAUAUAUUGGCCUAUUCCCAUAGAAUGGGCUUUCUUUUCAAGCAACUUUAUAAACAACCUUAAAUAUCUACUUUGCUGAAUAAACGCCUUGUUCCGAACCUCAACAGGAGUUGGUCAUCAUUACUAUUUGCAAUCAACACCCUGUUACACAUAUGCUUAAUUCACUUUUCAGUCCUACACUGUAUGAUGAACCAAUUCGCCAGCUACCAUUGGUGGUCUUUCACCGAUUCUCCAUCAAUGUCAUCGAUGUCAGAUUUCUCUAAAAUUUGCUCUUCAAUACAUAUUUCAUGACAAUUUUAUCUAACAAAGCAAUUUAAGGAUAGCCUCUUUGCAUUAAAAAGUAAAACGUCUGCUUAUAAGAGAUACUCACAUCUAAAGAUAGCAUGACCAUCACGGUUACUAUACAGUGACAAAAGUAAUGCUCUGAUUUAAUGUAUAAAGAAUAUUAAGAUACAUGGUUCACGGCAGGUAUGAGAGGGAUGCUGACUCCUCCUAGGCACCUGAUCCCACUUCUGGUGUGUCCACUUCUACUUCUGGUGUGUCCACCAGAACACCACUUCUGGUGUGUCCAGGGGUCCGUGUUUGUCCAACUCUUAAUGUGGUAUUCUUAUAAUCACUGGUUGUUAUCUUCACUUUUUCAUCAUCCAAAUACCAAUUUUCAAAAAACCAAAGUUUUUUGUUUUAUUUUUCUAAUUAAGUUUUAUAAACUUUUCAUGCCAUAAUUCUUAUACAAAUUUAAUAUCGCAAAAGCUGCAUAAAUUAGCAGCGUUAGUGUAGUUUCAUUGCUUAUUUUAAAAAAAAAAACAAAAAAACUUCAGACACUAACACCAGAAAUCAGAAGAAACAUUAUAUAAUGGUAAACUUGACACCAUACUAUAACAAGAGGCCCAGGGG